ACCAAAGAGGGGGACCUUCGGGCCUCUUGCCAUCGGAUGUGCCCAGAUGGGAUUAGCUAGUAGGUGGGGUAACGGCUCACCUAGGCGACGAUCCCUAGCUGGUCUGAGAGGAUGACCAGCCACACUGGAACUGAGACACGGUCCAGACUCCUACGGGAGGCAGCAGUGGGGAAUAUUGCACAAUGGGCGCAAGCCUGAUGCAGCCAUGCCGCGUGUAUGAAGAAGGCCUUCGGGUUGUAAAGUACUUUCAGCGGGGAGGAAGGGAGUAAAGUUAAUACCUUUGCUCAUUGACGUUACCCGCAGAAGAAGCACCGGCUAACUCCGUGCCAGCAGCCGCGGUAAUACGGAGGGUGCAAGCGUAAUCGGAAU
Molecule: ribosomal RNA, 369 nt
Filed under: Escherichia coli
Lineage: Bacteria; Pseudomonadati; Pseudomonadota; Gammaproteobacteria; Enterobacterales; Enterobacteriaceae
Description: bacterial SSU rRNA
Rfam family: Bacterial small subunit ribosomal RNA
Source: RNAcentral